GUUGCAGAAUGUUUAAGCUAGGGAAUUUGCACAUAUUUGCAUUUAUUGUUUUGGUUAUAUAUUGGGUUGUUGGAGGCAUCUUGGGUAUUCUUGACCCCGAAGAUGAUGAGUGAUGCCUCUGUUAUUUGGGAUGGGGAGCAUGGUUAUAUGUAUGUGGAAAGAUUCUGAGUGUAAAGCAUCUGUGUAAAGAAGGUAUUGGAGCACUCAGAGAAAUUAAUUCCUACCUGAAAGAAGGAUCGGUCAGAACAAGUAAUAUCUACCUGUUUAGUGGGUAGAGG
Non-coding RNA from Pelobates cultripes (western spadefoot toad), 278 nucleotides. NCBI's taxonomy places the organism in Eukaryota, Metazoa, Chordata, Amphibia, Anura, Pelobatidae. The record is from the annotation of a GenBank genome assembly.